RNAcentral lists this ribosomal RNA (443 nucleotides) under uncultured bacterium. Its description in RNAcentral is "partial 16S ribosomal RNA". It matches the Rfam family "Bacterial small subunit ribosomal RNA", at positions 338 to 795 of the family's 1533-position model. The record is from RNAcentral.
CCUACGGGAGGCUGCAGUGGGGAAUAUUGGACAAUGGGCGCAAGCCUGACCCAGCAAUGCCGCGUGAAGGAAGAAGGCCCUCGGGUUGUAAACUUCUUUUAUCAGGGACGAAGGAUGUGACGGUACCUCAUGAAUAAGCUCCCGCUAACUACGCGCCAGCAGCCGCGGUAAUACGUAGGGUGCAAGCGUUAUCGGGAUUUACUGGGUGCAGAGGGCGCGUAGGCGGGAUGGCAAGUCAGCUGUGAAAUCCGGGGGCUCAACCCGUGAACUGCAAUUGAAACUGUCGUUCUUGAGUACUGGAGAGGUGGACGGAAUUCCUGGUGUAGCGGUGAAAUGCGUAGAUAUCAGGAGGAACACCAGUGGCGAAGGCAGUCAACUGGACAGCAACUGACGCUGAGGCGCGAAAGCGUGGGUAGCAAACAGGAUUAGAUACCCGGGUAGUC